UGGGGAAUAUUGGGCAAUGGGCGAAACCCUGAUGCAGCGACGCCGCGUGAUUUAGAAGGCCUUCGGGUUGUAAAAAUCUUUUCUAUGGGAAGAAAAUGACAGUACCAUAGGAAUAAGGACCGGCUAAUUACGUGCCAGCAGCCGCGGUAAUACGUAAGGUCCGAGCGUUGUCCGGAAUCAUUGGGCGUAAAGGGUACGUAGGCGGGUAAGCAAGUUAGAAGUGAAAUCCUGUAGCUCAACUACAGUAAGCUUUUAAAACUGCUCAUCUUGAGAUAUGGAAGGGAAAGUGGAAUUCCUAGUGUAGCGGUGAAAUGCGCAGAUAUUAGGAGGAAUACCGGUGGCGAAGGCGACUUUCUGGCCAUAAUCUGACGCUGAGGUACGAAAGCGUGGGUAGCAAACAGG
Molecule: ribosomal RNA, 402 nt
Filed under: Verrucomicrobiota bacterium
Lineage: Bacteria; Pseudomonadati; Verrucomicrobiota
Description: Verrucomicrobia bacterium partial 16S ribosomal RNA
Rfam family: Bacterial small subunit ribosomal RNA
Source: RNAcentral